CAUCAGAAAAAAUUACAUCAAAAUCCAGCUUGGGGGAGAGCACCCCCAUUUAUCCAGCUAAGUGUUCUACUCAUGUUUAUACUUUACUCAAAUAAUAAAAAGAUGCAUAAUCAUAAAAACCCAAAUAAAAAUUUUGUGCUUAUAUAUAUAUCUUUGCUUAGUUUGCUAAAUAAAUAAAUAAAUAAAAUUUGCUAUGAACCCUCAUGAUAAGCUCUCACAUGGAAAUGAUGAAUAGUUGCUCUGCCAUGACUAGUUCUCAAAAUUGAAAUCUCUCUCAAGUUUAGGCAUGACGGUUAUCAAUUAAGAUUUGCUCUAAAACUGAAUUUGUGGGGAGAGUACUUGAUCUAAAGUCUAUGUCGUUAACGGAUAUGAUAUGGGAAGGUUGAGCUGUUGCUUAUCUGUUCCUAGAGAUGCUAGAAUUCUGGAGAAUUUUAUCUUUGAAAAUCUUUAAAAUGUUGCAUGAUGAGUUCCUGUAUGAUGAGAGUUUAAAUUCCUACCACAGCUAUAUAUACAUGCUUGCUAGACUAUGAGCCACACAUUUACUUUUUACUACUUAUGAGCAUUGAGUGUGGUCAAGCUAUGUAGACCCUUAGGAGCUUGUCAUGCGGUUAAAUCAAGAUUCACUUGCACGUUCACUCAUACAAGCUACUUCUACUUCGGAAGUACGCAUCCACAUAUAUCCAUCCAUUUCCAUCUCCAGAACCACCCAAAAAUAUUCUACUCCUAAUCCGGGAGAGAAUAGCCAAAAAUAUUUCUUUUUUUCCCCUAUGAAAUAAAUGCUCAAGUUAUCUUGUUACUACCACUUGCUAUAUUAUUUCAGGAGAUGAGUGCUCUAAAAAAAGAUUGAAAAAAAAGAGAAAAAUACGAGGAAAUAAAAAGGGGCAAGUGCCCGGAACCUCGAAGAAAAGAAAAAGUGUCCGACAGUAGAAUUAGGGGUACAAGAUACCCACCUGAGAGGAAAGAAAAAAAAAAUAUAGAGCAUCUCAUUCUCCUCAAAAAGUUUCAAUAGAGCAAGAAAGGUAUGUAUCCCCUCAAAAGAGCACAAGUAGAAUUAGACUUUCACCAUUGUUAUCACCAUCAUUACCAUGCACCAUUCAUUCGCCACACAUGCACAUCUUGAUUUGACUUAUUGACUUGUUCUUCUGGAUCCAUGGUUUGACUAUGCAAUAAAUGUCUUGUAAGUAUGUAUUAGCUGUCUCCCACCUAUGAGCUCCAGAUAUCAAAAGCCUUAUUAGAGUAGGGUAAGAGAGAAGGCAAUGCCACUAUGCCUUAUACCAAAAAUACCACAUACUUUGAGAGAAGGCAUACACCUUUACUGCCUUGGUAAGGAUCCAGAAAUACCACAAAAGAGAGACUAGAGAGAGUCAUACAAGGAAUCUCUGACUUUUAUUUGAAAAUCUGCAAAAACUCUAGAGCUAUAGUUAAUCGAAGAACAAGAGACAUAGCGCUUGAUUAGACCAUUCUAUCUUUUAACUACUCAAGACAUAAGUGACGGUUACAAACCCCAUGGUGAAAGGUAAUAUGAGUAAGUUUUAAGUCUUAACAGUUUACUCUAAUCCAGAGAUGAUAUCUUGUUUGAACGCAUUUGUAUCUUUAAGGCAUGAAACCACUGCAGAAACUCUUGAGUUCAUCUUUGCUCAGGGACGAGCAAAGGUUAAGCUUGGGGGAGCUUGUUGACGGUCCUUAAUGCUCACAUUUAACCAUCAACUAUCAUGGAAAAGGAUCCAAAUGCAACCAACACCCAGACUUAGGGUUUUAUCUAACAGAAUUCCACGAGUUUUAGUGUUUGUCUAUUUCUGCAGGGGGUUAUCAGGAAAUACGGAAGAAAGACCCACAUGUCAGGUUUACAUAGAGAUAUUAACGUGCCGUGCAAUUUUCUAUCAUCUAGAAGACUCCAGAAGCCACGAGAAGGAACGGGAGGCCGAGCGGGCUCGGGGGCAGGGCGCCCGCCCUCCCCCCUUGGGCGCCCGCCCUGCUACAGUGGCCAAUCACGCUCAACCUCGCGGAUUAUGCUCCACCGACCUAAAGGAUCAAGAAUAACCGUUCAAUCAAUGUCGGUUUGAUCCGACGGCCCAGGUUCACUUGAGGGGACUAUAUAAGCAGACCCCCUGGCCCCUGGAGGAGGCACCCCCUUGAUCAUUAUUCAUUAUUCAUAGACAGAGCAAAAGCUAGGGUUUAGAGAUGAGAGCUCUCCUCUCUUCUUUAAACUAGGAUCUAGAUAGUAGCGAGAUGGAGAGCGAAGGAGGAUUAGAGGAGAGGUCGGCCUGUCGGUUCUUCCUCCGGUUGUACUUUGUCAUGAUCAAGCUCUAAUCAAGCUUGCUCAUGGGAUGACUCUGGUAAUCUACUUCUAAUUUAUUAUGCAAUUACUAAUCAUGUAUGUUCUGGUUCACAACUCUUUUGAGUACUUCUAAUCUAUAGGACCCUAUAGGUUAGAGUUGUAGUAUAGGUGUGAGCGUGGUGCUUAGACCUAGAUUACUUGUGGAUAUCCCCUGUCUAGCUGGAUCGUGUGGUAGGCCGCGUACGUGACAGUUACGUUGGUCCUCUGUAGUCCACCUCUCAUUAGCUCGACGGGUAGGGUUUAUCGGCCUAAGCAUAAGCAUCCUUUGUGGUACUCUUAUCACGUGGUUCGUCCCAGACAUAGACAUACCCCUUUGAUGUAGAGAAACCAUAGUUAUCCUCUCUAUUCUGCUACCAUCGCCCAUAUACCAGAAUUGCUCUACUCUCUAUUCCCAUAUUAUCACUCACUGUUAUCUUACCAUUAAUAUUGUUCUUAUUCAAUUCUACCAUCUUUCCUAUUUACACCUAUUUACUUAUCUUGGUUAAGUUAGAGCAUAGAUCAGUUCUCCCGUUUCCCUGUGGAUACGAUAAAACCUUUAACCGGGUAAAAGCUAUAACGGUAUCCGUGCGCUUGCGGAUUUAUCUGUGUGCGUAUAAAUACCAUAGUACACUCUAGUGCCAUGCUAGGGAUGACAACCUAGUAUUCAAGUGGUGUUAGCAAGUGUCAAUAGACGUAGCUCACAAUAGAUGAUCCAUGGAGGGUGCCACAAAUACGAUGCACAACCGCUAAGAAAGAAAAGCUUCCACAAGGUGAUACUAUACCAUCACUCUUCAAGUAAGGUAACAUCUUAAGGUACUUGACUAUCACUUUUAUAAGCUUCUCCUUGGUUCUAGUGUUCACAUGAAUAAAAGAGACAAACAUGUAUGAUUUACAACUUUAGGUUAACCAACCCAACUGAUUCAGCAUGUUCAGUCCUUUAAUCUUUGUUCCUAGUACUACCUCCAUGAUCCCACACUCCUAAUCAUAUGAGCUAAAAUGUUGCACACUCAAUCUUUGGAAGAUAUAUAAGAAAAAGACAUAUACAUAGAUAGAUUAUCUUUCUAUAAGGUUGAGCGAUCUGAUCUGACAAAUGUUUUAAAUGCUACACUCAUGACCUUAUUAUCCAUCAACUUUGUCUUGCUCACUAUGCUUAGGGUUAGAGAAGAAAAAAUACACUUUUGGUUCUGUUGGUGUUUUCCACCAAUAGGGCCCAUGCACUUGAUCUCUUCCUUGUCUCUAUGAGCACGUACACUUCGAGCAAAACAUGGAGGAGUUUUACAACUCCCAGACAUCACCAAGUGAAGGAUCUGGAUCUACGAGCGCAAACACACUGAGCAAGAUACUGCCAACGCUGCACUUCGAACUGUUGGGCAAAUGAAGAACAUGGGUGACACCGUAUCAAGAGGUGCAGACGUCAAGGUCCACAUCUGAAUCGAAUGACGCACCUAAAGAAUGAACACGGUGAGAAGUCUUGUCCAGAAGACUUAAAACAUUGAACCCUCGCCGAAAGGUAAAAUCGGUAGUUAUCCAUAUUUAUCCUUUCUGCAUUCCCUUUUCCCUUAAAUUAUUUACUUUCCUUAAAUGGCUUGUUAGUUAAUCAUGCUAUCUUGAAAAGAAAAAAAUGUUAAAAAUACUAAGCCCCAUGUGAGUAUGCUCGUGGCAUAAAACACAUAAGUACAUUCACUAUGGUGGCGUAGAAAUAAAAUAAAUAUAUUCCUAUCCUAUAAAAAUGAAAAUAUAAAAAUAAAUUUAUGAUCCUACCAAAGAGAGUAAUAUCUAUUAGAGGAAGCUCAACAUGAUAACGGCUAAGAGAUUUUAUGCUAACACUUAACCAGUUCCACAAAGCUUUGUUGUCUAUUUAAGCUCCGCAGAAUCCAAGGAUCAAAGAAGACUAGCAGACGGAGGACAUCCUAAUCGUUGUCAGGGUGCUACCGACAUUCAAGUACACCUCCACCACCGGUUAGCUACAUCAGAAGAAAUUACGUCAAAAUCCAGCUUGGGGGAAAGCACCCCCAUUUAUCCAGCUAAGUGUUUCUACUCCCGUUUAUACUUUACUCAAAUAAUAAAAAAAUGCAUAAUCAUAAAAACCCAAAUAAAGAUUUUAUGCUUAUAUAUAUCUAUGUUUAGUUUGCUAAAUAAAUAAAUAAAUAAAUAAAGUUUGCUAUGAACCCUCAUGAUAAGCUCUCAUAUGGAAAUGAUGAAUAGUUGCUCUGCCAUGACUAGUUCUCAAAAUUGAAUUCUCUCUCAAGUUUAGGCAUGACUGUUAUGAAUUAAGAUUUGCUCUAAACCUGAACUUGUGGGAAGAGUACUUGAUCUGAAGUCUAAGUCGUUAACGGAUACGAUAUGGGAAGGUUGAGCUGCUAUUUAUCUAUUCCUAGAGAUGCUAGAAUUCUAGAGAAUUUUAUCGUUGAAAAUCUUUCAAAUGUUGCAUGAUGAGUUCCUGUAUGAUGAGAGUUUAAAAUCCCACCACAGCCAUAUAUACAUGCUUAUUAGACUAUGAACCAUACAUUUACUUUUUACUGCUUAUGAGCAUUGAGUGUGGUCAAGCUGUGUAGACCCUUAGGAGCUUGUCAUGCAGUUAAAAUCAAGAUUCACUUGCACGUUCACUCAUACAUGCUUCUUCUACUCCGGAAGUACGCAUCCACAUACUUCCACUCAUUUCCAUCUCCAGAUUUACCCAAAAUUAUUCUACUCCUAUCUAGGAGAGAAUAGCCAAAAAUAUUAUCCCAUCCCUGUUAUUCCCCGUGAAAUAAAUGCUCGAGAUAUUUUGGUUACUACCACUUGCUACAUUAUUCCAGGAGGGUGAGUGCUCUGAAAAAAAGUGAAUACGAGGAAAUAAAAAGAGGCAAGUGCCCGAAACCUCGAAAGAAAAGAAAAAGUGAGACGAGAGGUAAAAAUGGACAAGUGUCCGACAGUAGAAUUAGGGGUACAGGAUACCCACCUGAGAGAAAAAAAAAAGAAAAUAUAGAGCAUCUAAUUCCCCUCAAAAAGCUUCAAAGUGCAAGAAAGGUAUGAAUCCCCUCAAAAGAGCAAGCAUAGAAUUAGACUUUCACCAUUGUUUUCACCAUUAUCACCAUCAUCACCAUACACCAUUCAUUCGCCACACAUGCACAUCUUGAUUUGACUUAUUGACUUGUUUCUCUGGAUCCAUGAUUUGACUAUGCAAUAAAUGUCUUGUAAGUAUGUAUUAGCUGUCUCCCACCUAUGAGCUCCACAUAUCAAAACCUUGUUAAAGUAGGGUGAGAGAGAAGGCAAUAUAAUUAUGCCUCAUAGAACAAAUAUCACAUACUUUGAGAGAAGGCAUAUAUCAUCACUGCCUUGGUAAGGAUCCAGAAAUACCACAAAAGAGAGACUAGAGAGAGUCAUACAAGGAAUCUCUGAGUUUUAUUUAAAAAUCUGCAAAAACUCCAGAGCUAUAGUUGAUCAAAGAACAAGAGACAUGGUGCUUGACUUGACCGUUCUAUCUUUUAACUGCUCAAGACACAACUGACGGUUGCAAGCCCCAUGGUUGAAGGUAAUAUGAGUAAGUUUAAAUCUUAAUAGUUUACCUUAACCAAGAGAUGAGAUCUUGUUUGAACGCAUGAGUACCUUUAAGGCAUAAAACCAUUGCAAAAACUCUUGAGUCCAUCCUUGCUCAGGGACAAGCAAGAGGUAAGCUUGGGGGAGUUUGUUGACGGUCCUUAAGUAUCAAAUUUAAUCAUCAAAUAAAUAAAGAAAAUGAUCCAAAUGUAACCAACACCUAGACUUAGGGUUUUAUCUGACAGAGUUCCACAAGUUUUGGUGUUUGUCUAUUUCUGCAGGAGGUUAUCAGGAAAUAUGGUGGAAAGGCCCACACGUUGGGUUUACAUAGAGAUAUUAACGUGCCGCGCAAUUUUCUGUCAUCUACAAGACUCCAUAAGCCACGGGAACAAAUGGGAAGUCGAGCGGGCUCGGGGGCAGGGCGCCCGCCCUGUCACAGAGUCCAAUCAGGACUCGCUUCGGGGAUUACGCUCCACCCACCUAAAGGAUCAAGGAUAACCGUUCAAUCAAUGUCGGUUUGAUCCGAUGGCCCAGAUUCACUUGAGGGGACUAUAUAAGCAGACCCCCUGGCCCCUGGAGGAGGCACCCCUUGACCCCCAUUCAUUAUUCAUAGACAGAGCAAAAGCUAGGGUUUGGAGAUGAGAGCUCUCCUCUCUUCUCUAAACUAGAGUAGAUCUAGAUAGUAGCGAGAUGGAGAGCGAGGGAGGAUUGGAGGAGAGGCCGGCCUGUCGGUUCUUCCUCCGGUUGUACUUCGUCAUGAUCAAGCUCUAAUUAAGCUUGCUCAUGGGAUGACUCUGGUAAUCUACUUCUAAUUCAUUAUGCAAUUACUAAUCAUGUAUGUUCUGGUUCACAACUCUUUUGAGUACUUUAAUCUAUAGGACACUAUAGGUGAGAGUUGUAGUAUAGGUGUAAGCGUGGUGCUUAGACCUAGAUUACUUGUGGAUAUCCCCUGUCUAGCUGGAUCGUGUGGUAUUCCGCGUAGGUGACAGUUACGUUCGUCCCCUGUAGUCCACCUCUUGUUAGCAGGACGGGUAGGGUUUAUCGGCCUAUGGAUAAGCAUCCUUUGUGGUGUAUUCUUAUCACGUGGUUCGUCCCAGACAUACACAUACCCCUUUGAAGUAGAGAAACCAUAGUUAUCCUCUCUAUAAUCCUACCAGUGCCCAUAUACUAGAUUGCUCUACUCUCUAUUCCCAUAUUAUCACCCAUUGUUAUCUUACCUUUAAUACUGUUCUUAUUCAAUUCUACCAUCUUUCUUAUUCACACCUGUCUAUCUAUCUUGGUUAAGUUAGAGUGUAGUUGGUUCUCCCAUUUCCCUGUGGAUACGAUAAAACCUUUGUCCAGGUAAAAGCUACAACGGUAUCCGUGCGCUUGCGGAUUUAUCUGUGUGCGUAUAAAUACCAUAGUACACUCUAGUGCCAUGCUGGGGAUGACAACCUAGUAUUCAAGUGGUGUUAGCAAGUGUCAACAACUAUUACUUCCUUCUUCUUGAAUAGACAUUCAAAACCAAGAUCACAAAGUUGUCCAACCGAGAGCAAGUUGAAACUUAAUGAUUGCACAUAGAGCACAUUGGUGAUGGAGUUGUCAUUUGAUAUAGCAACCUUUCCUAGACCCUUGACCUUGCCUUCUGAAUUGUCACCAAAUGUGGUCUUCUCUUGGUUGUCAACAUCUUCAUCAAGUGAGGUGAACAUCCGGGGAUCUCCGGUCAUAUGUUGAGUGCAACCACUAUCAAUUACCCAAUGUGAUCCACCGGUCUUGUAGUUCACCUACACACAAGAGAUCAAGCUUGAGAUUUAGGGACCCACACUUGCCUAGGGCCCUUGACCUUCUCUACUAGUUGCUUUGGCACCCAAAUCUUCUUUGGCCUUUGCUUGUUGGGCGGCCCCAUGAAGCUAACCUUGACCUUGCCACUCUUGUCUUUCCUUACAAUGUAGUGAGCAUUGAAGGCAAAUGGUCUAGCAUGCUUGGGCAAGGGUGGUGGUAGUGGUGCCUCACACUCAUGAGCAAAGUGUCCUUCUUGUCCACACUCAAAGCAUCUCACUACAAUAAAUUCCCUUAUACAUGACGGUUUUAUUGUGACCUUCUAACAAAUCAUCACAGAAUGUAGUCAUCCAUGAGGGUCCAAAUCCGAGUUGAUGAUGCAUGACAAUUGGUUGAAUUACCGUCAUAAGUGGAACGUCACGAAUCUUGCAGAAUCAUUUUACGGAUCAAUUUGGUCAUCUAUGACGGACUCAUUCAAAGGUCACUGAUAUAACAUGCAGGUUGCAUGCUGAUGCGAGCGUCCACGUCGUUCCUACGUGUCAGUUGGCACCGGUCUGGUGGGACCCACCUCACGGUGAGGGAUUUAAAUAGGGAAGAUGGGACCCACCUGUCAGUGAGGGAUUUAAAUAGGGAAGGUAAAUGCAAAGUGGUUCCCACCUCAUGGUGAGGGAUUUAAAUAGCGAAGAUGGGACCCACCUGUCAAUGAGGGAUUUAAAUAGGGAAGGUAAAUGUAAAAAAGGUGCCACAAGUGGGCUCUGAACCGUGCACAAUGUUUCCAACUGCAAGGAGCUAACCAGUUGGUCAUCGGUUGUAGUGUGCAUAAAGUUGACUUGUUUUAUCUUUUGACUUAAUGAAAUUUGGGAUAAUUCUUAAACAAAUUAGACGACCCCUGUCCAGACGACAACCUGUCUGUGACGGCACGCCCCUAUCUUCACCGCUCGGCGUCGCCCCUGUCCUUGCAGGCCGCCCGUCGUCGCCCCUCUCCUUGUCGGCCGCUCGGCGCCCACCGCCCCUCUCCUUGCCGGCCAUCCUAUCCAUGCUGGCCACCCUAUCCUCUCGAGCCGCCGCCGUCUGCACUGGCCGUGCGUGCGAUCCUUGCCUGUGCCGGCGGCGCCGGUCGUCUGGCCUUCGUCCUUGCCCGCGACGACAAGGAUACCGGGGAGCAGCCACGACAUCGACUUCGUGAAGCCCCCCUGCAGUGGAUCCAUUGCCACCGUGCGGUUCUUGUCCGCGUCGGCAGUGUGGCCCCUGUGCCCUGUCCUCGCCAGCCGCCACCGUCGGUGGUGAACGGGAAACCGAGGAGCAGCCACGGCAGCGGCUCCAUGAAGCCCACCUACAGGGGAUCCGUCACCCCGACCUCUAGAGGUCAGCUUCAACCGAUUUGAAUUGGUAUGUAUUUGAAUACAUAGUGUAAAUUAGUGUGUUACUUUGUUAGUUGAUGUGUGGCUGCAAUUGUAGGUUAUAAUGAUCUAUUUAAUUUCUGUAAUUUAUUUGUAGAUGGACAGGCGUUGGAUUCAUGGUGCUUUAUUUACCCCUCAGUACAUUUGUGGUGUCUGGUCUUUCAUGAAAUUUGUCAAAGAGAGGUUUUCUGAGUCUGAGAAGAUUUUGUGCCCAUGUUCAAGUUGUCUAAACACUAUAUCUUUAGAGCAAAAUGAAGUAGAGAGGCACCUACUGCUCAAUGGUAUGUCCAGCACAUAUACUAGGUGGAUAGAUCAUGGAGAGGAUAGAAAUAUUCAUGUUUUGGAGGAAGUAGCAGUAGCUGAGGAUGCAAAUGAUGUUUCUUUUGUACUUGAGCACACCAAUGGUGAUGGUGGACUUGAAGAGAUGUUAAAGGAACUAGUCACUUCUGAAUCACAUAGAAAUGAGGCUAGAACUGAAGAUGGAAAUGAGGGUGCUGCAUCACAUUUCAAAAAGCUGAUUGAAGAUGGUAAGCGUGAGCUAUAUCCUGGUUGUAUGAACUUUACAAGGUUCACAUUUGUAAUCAAGAUGCUCCAUGUGAAGUCAUACUAUAGGAUCACUAACUCAGAAUUUUCUGUAAUUAUGAAGAUUUUGUCAGAAGCUUUCCCACAGUUCAAUACUAUUCCAAUGUCGUAUGAGGAAGCAAAGAAAAUGCUUUGUAAGUUUGGACUUUGUUAUGAAUCAAUUCAUGUGUGCCCCAACAAUUGUGUGUUAUUUAGAAAAGACAAUAAAGACAAGGAUAAUUGUCCAGUUUGUGGGGCAUCUAGAUGGAAAGAUCCUAGUAGGAAGAAGGUUCUAGAAAAAGUAUUGCGGCAUUUUCCAUUGGUCCAUAGGCUGCAAAGGAUGUUUGUUUCAAAGAAAAGAUCAGAGGAAGCACAAUGGCAUAAGUUGAAGAGGAAACACAAUGAGAAGGAAAUGACCCAUCCUGCAGAUGGAAAGGCCUGGGAAGAUUUGGACAACCGCUGGCCUGAUUUUGCUCAAGAUGCACGAAACAUAAGACUUGGACUUGCCACAGAUGGUUUCAACCCAUUUAGCAACAUGACUUCAUCUUAUAGCAUGUGGCCUAUUUUGUGAUUCCAUACAACUUACCACCUUCGGCAUGCAUGGAUGAAUCUAAUUUCAUGAUGGCUUUGUUGAUUCCUGGUCCUAGGUCUUCAGGGAAGGCCUUAGAUGUUUUCUUGCAACCUCUUGUAGAAGAACUACUUCAGCUAUGGUCUAGUGUGGAUACUCUUGAUGCUAUCACCGGACUAGAUUUCAAGCUUCGUGCUGCAGUGUUGUGGUGUAUUCAUGAUUAUCCAGCACUAAGUACCCUAUCAGGCCAUACCACAAGUGGUUACUUUGCUUGUCUCCAUUGUGACUAGAAUCCGUUGUCGUAUACCAUAAGGAGCAAGCUAUGUUAUAUUUGGCAUUGUCGUUUCCUUCCAAAAGGUCAUCAUUUGUGCAAGGAUAAUGAAUUUGCAUCCAUCCAUGAUAGUAGUGUGAAGCCAGCUAGUUUCACCACAGAAGAGGUGCUAGAAGAAUUAGAAAAGGUUAGAGAUGUUAGAGUUGGAGAGAAAAGGAAGCGUUCGGGCAAAAGUGUCCCAAUUUGGGGGAGAAGGAAUUGUCUGUGGGUCUUACCGUAUUGGCCAUCUCUAAAGCUUAGACACAAUCUAGAUGUCAUGCAUAUUGAAAAAAAAAUGUUUGUGAAAGCCUCCUUGGUACUAUUCUGGACAUAAAAGGGAUGUCAAAGGACAUAGUUAAUGCAAGGCUCGACCUGGCUGAUUUGGGUAUUAGAAAGGAAUUGCAAUUAUAGAAUAGUGGAGAUUCAUAUUACAUGCCCAAAGCGUGAUAUACGCUGUCGAAGACUAAGAAGGUUCAAUUUUGUAAUUUCUUGUUGGAGGCCAAGUUUCCAGACGGAUAUGCUUCAAAUAUACAAAGAUGCUUAAAUGCUGACUCACUAAAGUGGCAAGGCCUAAAAACUCAUGACUGCCACAUUCUAUUCCAAAGGAUUAUACCAGCUGGGUUGAGAGGGCUUUUGGAUGAUGAUAUAUAUCAAACACUUGCUGAGUUGGGCAAAUUCUUUAGGGAAUUGUGCAGCCAAAAAACUAAACAAAGAUGUCUUGGCUCGAAUGAAGACUGAAAUACCAUUCAUAUUGUGCAAGCUUGAGAAAAUCUUUCCCCUGCUUUUUUUUUGAUGUCAUGGUUCACCUUGCUGUCUGUUGGGUAUUCUUAACAUCAUUACCAAAAGUAGACUAAGUUCUAUAAAUCUAGUAACGGUGCCAAAAAUGCCAAACCUAUCCCUCAUACCACUUAAGCCAAGUUGUCAUCCCCAGCAUGACAUGAGAGAUGCGGUAUUGAAAUAUGCAAUUGCUCUUCUAAAUAAAUAAUGAAUGGGAUCUGCAAGCGCGCAGAUUAAUACCGUUGUAGCAUUUUAACCGGGAAGUAUUCCAAGUAUCGUUAUUUAUAUUUUUACCACUGGGAAGGGAUUAGCAAUCAUCAAUAUUGAUUACAGAAUAGAAUAUGAGAUUGUGUAUCUAUCAUUGCAUGUAUAAUUGAGAACAUUUAUCUAACUCUUCUAUACAGUGGUAAGUGUCACAUAAAAGAUAUAUGAAAUAAUGAAUAGUGACAAGGAAAAUUAAUCUGAUCAGCCACAUAUAAAUAUGAGAAGCACCUCAAUUAGAUACUCUAGAAAGUCAUUAGCAUGGUAUUAGAACGAACUACAAGAAUAUUCCCUAAGUUAUUCUCAACUAUAUAGUCUAGCAUUAUCAUAGUUAGUGCAAGCAUACUUAGCAAUCAUUGCGAGACAAGACUACGCCCAUGCAUAGUGAUAUUAGCAAGGUAAAUGAGAAACAUAGCAAUCACUCCCCUGUAAUAAUGUUGCUCUGGCAGCCCAAUACACGAGAGGGGGAUUAUAUAAGAAUCAAUGAAGCUGUCACUAUCACGAACUACCCCACGAUCUGGCAUAUUGGGUACAAUCGCAGAUAAAUAUGGUAUAAGCACCACGCCUACACAAUAUCUAUCAUUUAUCCAUGGAUCCGAUGGAUAAACGCUAUACGAUCCUAAGCAUGUAUAUAGAUCCAAUCUAACUAAGCCAAGUACAUAACUAUGAUAAACUAAGAACAAUAUAAUCUUGAAUAUAAGCAAGUAGAGCAAAGUCAUAAGCAAUAUAUUGAAGUAGAACAAAGUCAUAUUCAUAAUACUGAAGAACAAAGAUGAUUAGAAGAACAAUUAGAAGCACAAUUAGAGAAUUACCAAGAAUCCUCUUGACAGAUCCGGAAACAAAUCGAAGAUUGACUCCUUCUAGUUCUAAUCCUAUUUAGCUAUGCUAAUCUAGAUAUCUAAUUGAUGUGGUGGCUCUAAUCUUGAUCAGUGGCUUCUUCUCCCUUGAGAAUAAUGAAUUAGGGUUGAGAGGCUCUCCCCUCCAGGGGCCAGGGGGUCUGGUUUUAUAGUCCCUUCGAGUGAAUAUGGGCCAUUGGAUCAAACCGACAUUGAUUGAACGGUUAUCCUUGAUCCUUUAGGUCGGUGGAGAUCUCCCGAGAAACAGAGUCCUGACUGGACUCCAGAGGUGGGCGGGCGCCCAGGUGAACAGGGCGGGCGCCCUGCCUCUGGCCCCGUUUCGCCUCCGCUUCGGUCCCGUGGCUUCUGGAGUCUUCUAGAUGUAAGAUAAUUGCGCGGCACGUUAAUAUCUCUAUGUAAUCCCGACGUGUGGGCCUUUCUUCCGUAUUUCCUGAUAACCCCCUGCAGAAAUAGACAAACACCAAAACUCGUGGAAUUCUGUCAGAUAAAACCCUAAGUCUAGAUGUUGAUUUCAUUUUGAUCCUUUUCUUUGUUUAUUUGAUAAUUAAAUUUGAUACUUAAGGACCGUCAACAAAGUCCCCCAAGCUUACCUCUUGCUCGUCCCUGAGCAAGGAUAGACUCAGCUAUGGAUCAUAAGUUGUUGCAAUAUUUUUUAAAAAUUUGACGGUACACAUGCUUUUUAAAUAAGAUCUCAUCUCUGAGUUAGAGUAAACUAUCAAGACUUAAAACUUACUUACUUUACCUUUCACCAUGGGACUUGUAACCGUCACUUCUGUCUUGAGUAAUUAAAAGAUAGAACAGUCUAGUCAAGUGCCAUGUCUCUUAUUCUUGAUCAGCUAUAGCUCUGGAGUUUUUGCAGAUUUUCAAAUAAAACUCAGAGAUUCCUUGUAUGACUCUCUUAGAUCUCUCUUUUGUGGUAUUUCUGGAUCCUUACCAAGGCAGUGAUGGUGUAUGCCUUCUCUCAAAAUAUAUAGUAUUUGUGGUAUAAGGCAUAGUGAUAUUGCCUUCUCUCUCACCCUACUCUAAUAAGGCUUUAAUAUCUGGAGCUCAUAGGUGGGAGAUAAAGUAUACAUACUUACAAGACAUUUAUUGUAUAGUCAAACCAUGGAUCCAAAGAAAUAAAUCAAUAAGCCAAAUCAAGGUGUGCAUGUGUGGCGAAUGAAUGGUGUAUGGUGACAACAAUGGUGAAAGCCUAAUUCUACUUUUGCUCUUUGAGGGGAUACAUACCUUCCUUGCUUUUUGAAACUUUGUGUGGAGAAUGAGAUGCUCUUCUUUUUCUUUCCUCUCAGGUGGGUAUCUUGUACCCCUAAUUCUACUGUCGGACACUUGUCCAUUUUUACCUCUCAUCUCACUUUUUCUUUUCUUUCGAGGUUCCGAGCACUUGCUCCUUUUUAUUUCCUUGUAUAUUUUUUUAGACCACUCAUCUCUUGAGAUAAUAUAGCAAGUGGUAGUAACAAGAUAACUUGAGCAUUUAUUUCAGAAGGGAAAAACAGAAAUAUUUUUGGCUAUUCUCUCCCGGAUUAGGAGUAGAAUAUUUUUGGGUGAUUCUGGAGAUGGAAUGGGUGGAUAUAUGUGGAUGGUACUUCCGGAGUAGAAGUAGCAUAUAUGAGUGAACGUGCAAGUAAAAUCUUGAUUUAACCACAUGACAAGCUCCUAAGGGUCUACACAGCUUGACCACACUCAAUGCUCAUAAGCAGUAAAUAGUAAAUGUGUGGCUCAAAGUCUAGCAAGCAUAUAUAUAUGGCUGUGGUAGGAAUUUAAACUCUCAUCAUAUAGAAACUCAUCAUGCAAUAUUUUAAAGAUUUUUCAAUGAUAAAAUUCUCCAGAAUUCUAGCAUCUCUAGGAACAGAUAAACAGCAGCUCAACCUUCCCAUAUUGUAUCCGUUAACAACUUAGACUUCAGAUCAAGUUUUCAUCCCACAAGUUUAGGUCUAGCGCAAGCUUUAAAUUAUAACAGUUAUAUCUAAACUUGAGAGAGAACUUCAAAUUUGCAAAUUAGGCAGAGCAACUAUUCAUCAUAUCCAUGCUUGAGUUUUAUUUAGACACAGAUUAGCAUAGCCACUUUAUUUAUUUAUUAAACACACUAAGCAAAAGAUAUAGAUAUAUAUAUAAGCAUAAAAUCUUUAUUUGGUGUUCCAUAGUUAUGUAUAAUUAUAUUUUAAUAUAGUAUAAGUAUAAAGAUAGAUUGAUAGAAAUACUUAUUGGGAUAAAUGGGGGUGCUCUCCCCCAAGCUGAAUUUUGACGUAAUUUCCUUUGAUGUAGCUAGCAGGUGGCAGAGGUGUAUUUGAAAGUCACCAGCAUUCUGACAGCGAUUAGAAUGUCCUCCGUCUGCUAGUCUUCUUGAUUCUUAGAUUCUGUGGAACUCAAAUAGACAACAAAGCUUGUGGAACUAAUUAAGUGUUAGCAUAAAUAUCUAGCCUUUAUCAUGUUGAGUCUCCUUAAUAAUUAUUACUCCCUGUUUUUAUAUUUUCAUUUUAUAAAGCAGAAAAAUAUUUAUUUUAUUUUUAUGCCACCACAGUGAAUGUACUUAUGGGUUUUAUGCCACUCGUCUACUCACAUGGGGCUUACGGUUUUUCACAUUUUUAUUUUCUUUUUAGGAUAGCAUGAACAUGAUUAACUAAGCAAACUAUUUUAAAUAAGUAAACUAGUUGAAAUAAUUGAAAGGAAAAAGAUAACUACUAAGUUUACCUCUUGGCAAGGCGUUCGGUGUUUUUAAGUCCUCCGAACGGGACUCUCUAUUUUCUCAAUUGUCCUGGGAUUCGUUAGGUGGCAGAGUCGGUACUUCCGGCAGCGCCUCCUCUUCAUGUAUAGUUAUCUUCUCUUUCCAUACCUGACUCGGUGCUACGGUCUCCUUUGGAUAAUUUUGUUUAAACUCUACGUCUUCUGACCAUACAACUUCUCCUUCAUAGUCUACCCAUCCAUCCUUGAUGAUCUGCCUCCUCUGGUUGCGGUUGCGUCGUUUCCUUACCCGCUUAGAUUCUUCAACGAUAUAGUUAGGAUCAGUAAAAUAGCGGCGUACCUUCUCUGAGGGGAAGUGCAUAUGGACUUCUCCGGUUCCAAUGUAGAUAAUUGCUUUAACAGUGCUGAGGAAUGGUCUCCUAAGGAUGAUGGGUGGAUCGUAUUCAUCUUCUCCCAUGUCAAUAACUUGAAAGUCUGUGUAGACAAAAUGAUCAUCUAUUUUGACUGGGACAUCAGUUACUAUUCCUUUGACUUCUCGAAACGUCUGAUCUGCCAUCUGGAGCUAAAUGUAUGUUGGUCUUAGGGGCAUGGUUCCGAACAAGAGCCGAUAGGUGACUGCGGCCAUUAUGUUGACGCCCGACCCGGUGUCGCAAAACGUCUUGUAGAAGUUGUAUCCAUUUAUGGAGCAGUAGAUGCUUGGCAUUCCUGGGUCGUUCUUCUUGGUCAAAAACGGUGAAUUUAGUUGACGAUCUUAACCUCCAUGAACUGCAGUGACCAUCUUACCUAACUCGGUCCACACUUGCUUGUUCCUGUUCCUCCUGUUGGUCCUCUUCCUUGAUUCACGUCUGGAUUGAUCAGGAAUUUGUGUAGUCUUGUUCUUGAAGAAGAACGUCUCCUUCCUCCCUUUGAUGUAGAAACUGAUCUUGGCAGCACUAGCGUACAUGAUAGCUCCUGAGGUGUUUAAGAAUGGCCUCCCUAAGAUGAUAGGUGCUCUCUCAUCAUUACCAGUCUCUACCACUACGAAGUCUGCUGGUGCGUACAAGGUACCAACUCGGACACAAAGGUUCUUCAAUAUUCCCUUUGGAAAAGUUAUUGCCUGAUCUGCAAACUGCAAACACAUGGUUGUCUCUAAUAAAGGAUAUGUAAAGAAUUUUUCAUAGAGUACCCUGGGUAUAAUGUUGACACUAGAGCCAAAGUCGCAGAGUGCUUCUGGGACGUCCACCAUGCCGAUGGAGUUCGGGAUGACGGGGCGUCCUGGAUCACCUCUCUUGACCGGCAGAAGGUCAGAAGUGAAUUCAGUGACGGGGUUACUCCAGUUAUUACCUGCAUCAAUCAUGUCUACAAGAUUUGCAGAUUCUAAUCCUUCCGGUUGUGAUGGUAUACCGGGGUUAGUAGUAGGAACAGCAGCAGCUAUUUGAUUUAACUGAGAUUCAAUCAUUUUAUUAAAGCUAAUUUGAUUCUUGAUGGCAGUAGAGAAAUUAUCUAUUCUAUUAUUUAUAUUUUCUAGCAUUUUAUCAUUAGAUAGGUUAUCCAUUAGCUUUCCUUGAUUAGACACUAACUCUCUCAGAGGUGGAAAAUUAUUAUUAUUGUUGUAAGAAUUAUUACCUUGAUAAUUACCUGAGUAGUUAGGCCUCUGUUGAUUCCAACCUUGAUUUUGUUGAGGACGGUUGUAGUAGUAGUUGUUGUUGUUGUUGAUGUAGUUCACAUCCUUAAGCAUCUCAGGGCAGUGAUUGCCUGAGUGUCCAGUGUCUCCACACUCCUCACAAGUCAUGUGAGAGUCGUAGAUGUGCAUAACUUCUUUCUUAUCUCUUGCUCUAUCGCCGAGCUUCUUCAUGAGCAGGUCUAGCUUUGCAGACAACAUGUCUACCUCCUUGAGCUGAUGCAUACCUCCACCUCUCUUGCGUGUCUGGGUCCUCUCUUCAUUCUAGCUUUGGUUGGACGCCAUCUUCUCCACAAGAGCUAUGGCUUGUGAUAUGGUGAGUGAUAAGAAUGCUCCUCCAGCUGCAGCAUCCAUGGCUUCUCGGGCACUGCUGCCGAGUCCAUGAUAAAACGUCUGCAUCAGUAGCCAACUCUCCAUUCCAUGAUGGAGACAUUCUAGGAUGUAGUCUUGGAAGCGCUCCCAUGCUUCUGGAACAGAUUCAUAAUUUUGUUGCUGAAAACUUGUAAUCUUCCCACGGAGAGCAUUGGUCUUGCCCAUGAGAAAGAACUUAGCCAGGAAGUUUGUUGAGCAGAGUGCCCAUGUAGUAUUCUUCUCCUUUGUAGGGUAGAACCACUGCUUCGCUCUUCCUAACAGUGAGAAUGGGAAGAGGCGAAGUAGUAUAGCAUCUUUGGAAACUCUGAAUGUGUUGCAAAUCUCCAGGAAGUGUUGGAGAUGAGCACUAGCAUCUUCAUGUGCCUUCCCACAGAACUGGUUGGAUUGCACCACGUUGAUUAGUCCAGGCUUGAGCUCAAAGUUGCCGCAAUCUCUGCAGGAGGUCCAGUGCGGAUGUUUUCCGUAGUGGGAGCUGAGAACUCGCGGAUUGAUUUGUUCGCCAUGGCUUCGAACUCUGAAGACAAGUUCCGGUGAUCUUCUUGAUUGGAUGAAGCUUCUUGCUGAAGUGUUGAUGAUCUCUUCUUGAGCUUGGCACUUGUCUUCUUGAAUAACGCUUCGGGAUUGUCAACAAAAUUUCCUGGAAGAUGUCUUCUAUUCAUACAUUCCCCUGCAUAAGAUAAAAUAGAAAAAUAUCGGGGUAAAACUGUAUGAGAGAAUAGAUAAGCUCAAUCAUAUUAGUGAUGCGAAUGAUAACUCAAAAUCUUUUAUUCCAUUCUUGAUUAGUAAUCAACCUUCCCCGGCAACGGCGCCAAAAAUGCUUGUUGGGUAUUCUUAACAUCAUUACCAAAAGUAGACUAAGUUCUCUAAAUCUAGUAACGGUGCCAAAAAUGCCAAACCUAUCCCUCAUACCACUUAAGACAAGUUGUCAUCCCCAGCAUGACAUGAGAGACGCAGUAUUGAAAUAUGCAAUUGCUCUUCUAAAUAAAUAAGGAAUGGAAUCUGCAAGCGCACAGAUUAAUAUCGAUGUAGCAUUUUAACCGGAAAGUAUUCCAGGUAUCGUUAUUUAUAUUUUUUCUACUGGGAAGGGAUUAGUAAUCAUCAAUAUUGAUUACAGAAUAGAAUAUGAGAUUGAGUAUCUAUCAUUGCAUGUAUAAUUGAGAACAUUUAUCUAACUCUUCUAUACAGGGGUAAGUGUCACAUAAAAGAUAUAUGAAAUAAUGAAUAGUGACAUGGAUAAUUAAUCUGAUCAGCCACAUAUAAAUAUGAUAAGCACCUCAAUUAGAUACUCUAGAAAGUCAUUAGCAUGGUAUUAGAACGAACUACAAGAAUAUUCCCUAAGUUAUUCUGAACUAUAUAGUCUAGCAUUUUCAUAGUUAGUGCAAGCAUACUUAGCAAUCAUUGUGAGACAAUACUACGCCCAUGCAUAGUGAUAUUAGCAAGGUAAAUGAGAAACAUAGCAAUCACUCCCCUGUAAUAAUGUUGCUCUGGCAGCCCAAUACAUGAGAGGGGGACUAUAUAAGAAUCAAUGAAGCUGUCACUAUCACGAACUACCCCACAAUUUGGCAUAUUGGGUACAAUCACAGAUAAAUACGGUAUAAGCACCAAGCCUACACAAUAUCUAUCAUUUACCCAUGGAUCCGAUGGAUAAACGCUAUACGAUCCUAAGCUUGUAUAUAGAUCCAAUCUAACUAAGCCAAGUACAUAACUAUGAUAAACUAAGAACAAUAUAAUCUUGAAUAUAAGCAAGUAGAGCAAAGUCAUAAGCAAUGUAUUGAAGUAGAACAAAGUCAUAUUCAUAAUACUGAAGAACAAAGAUGAUUAGAAGAACAAUUAGAAGCACAAUUAGAGAAUUACCAAGAAUCCUCUUGACAAAUCCGGAAACCAAUCAAAGAUUGACUCCUUCUAGUUCUAAUCCUAUGUAGCUAUGCUAAUCUAGAUAUCUAAUUGAUGUGGUGGCUCUAAUCUUGAUCAGGGGCUUCUUCUCCCUUGAGAAUAAUGAAUUAGGGUUGAGAGGCUCUCCCCUCCAGGGGCCAAGGGGUCUGGUUUUAUAGUCCCUUCAAGUGAAUAUGGGCCGUUGGAUCAAACCGACAUUGAUUGAACGGUUAUCCUUGAUCCUUUAGGUCGGUGGAGAUCUCCCGAGAAACAGAGUCCUGAUUGGACUCCAGAGGUGGGCGGGCGCCCAGGGGAACAGGGCGGGCGCCCUGCCUCUGGCCUCGUUUCGCCUCCGCUUCGGUCCCGUGGCUUCUGGAGUCUUCUAGAUGUAAGAUAAUUGCGCGGCACAUUAAUAUCUCUAUGUAAUCCCGACGUGUGGGCCUUUCUUCCGUAUUUCCUGAUAACCCCCUGCAGAAAUAGACAAACACCAAAACUCGUGGAAUUCUGUCAGAUAAAACCCUAAGUCUUGAUGUUGAUUUCAUUUGGAUCCUUUUCUUUGUUUAUUUGAUAAUUAAAUUUGAUACUUAAGGACCGUCAACAGUACCCGUAUUCGAUGUGGCAUUUCCAACAUCAUCAUUAUACCAUAACCAUCCACAUGUUCCAUAAGCAUUACUACGAUGACGAAGCUCAAGUCAAUUGCUCACUGUCCAGGAGCGAUGGCGAUUCGAAUCGAUUUCUAACCAGCUGGCGAUUUUAUUCCCCACACAAACCACACUCACUGAUCAAGUGAGCUACAGGUCACCAUAUUACACUAUCCAGGACCAAUUUGCGGGUUCGACAGGCACCGCCCGUACCUGAGGACCGUUACGACGGCCGAGGUAUCCAAGGUAUACCAAGGUUGCGCGCCACGCCCUCGUCGUUCUCCUCAACCAUCACCAAUACAGCGCGUACAUCGGGCCGAUUCCCGGCCCAGAUAGUGUUCAGGCUUCGCGGUCGGAAUGACUUAUCCUUCUAGCUAAGUGUGGGGCAUGCGUUCAACAUGACAAGAGGGCCGUCAACGAUUGGUCCUUAAUCGACACAGGCGGAGAUAGAUAGGCACCCAACACCUUGUUGACGGUCCUUAAGUAUCAAAUUUAAUUAUCAAAUAAAUAAAGAAAAGGAUCCAAAUGAAAUCAAGAUCUAGACUUAGGGUUUUAUCUGACAGAAUUCCAUGAGUUUUGGUGUUUGUCUAUUUCUGCAGGGGGUUAUCACGAAAUAUGGAAGAAAGGCCCACAUGUCAGGAUUACAUAAAGGUAUUAACGUGCUGCGCAAUUAUCAUACAUCUAGAAGACUCCAGAAGCCACGAGACCGAAGCGGAGGCGAAACGGGGCCAGAGGCAGGGCGCCCGCCCUGUCCUACUGGGCGCCCGCCCCCUGUUGGAGUCCAAUCAGGACUCUGCUUUGCGGGAGAUCUCCACCGACCUAAAGGAUGAAUCUAAACCAUACAAUCUAUGUCGGUUUGAUCCAAGGGCCCAUAUUCACUUGAAGGGACUACAAAACCAGACCCCCUGGCCCCUGGAGGAGGGAGCCUCUCAACCCUAAUUCAUUGUUCUUCAAGGGAGAAGAAGCCUCUGAUCAAGAUUAGAGCCACCACAUCAAUUAGAUAUCUAGAUUAGCAUAGCUACAUAGGAUUAGAACUAGAAGGAGUCAAUCUUCGAUUGGUUUCCGGAUCUGUCAGGAGGAUUCUUGGUAAUUCUCUAAUUGUGCUUCUAAUUGCUUUCUAAUUAUCUUUGUUCUUCAAUAUUAUGAAUAUGACUUUGUUCUACUUCAAUAUAUUGCUUAUGACUUUGCUCUACUUGCUUAUAUUCAAGAUUAUAUUGUUCUUAGUUUAUCAUAGUUAUGUACUUGGCUUAGUUAGAUACGAUCUAUAUACAUGCUUAGGAUCGUAUAGCGUUUAUCGAUCGGAUCCAUGGGUAAAUGAUAGAUAUUGUGUAGGCGUGGUGCUUAUACCGUAUUUAUCUGCGAUUGUAUCCAAUAUGCCAGAUCGUGGGGUGGUUCGUGAUAGUGACAGCUUCAUUGAUUCUUAUAUAGUCCCCCUCUCGUGUAUUGGGCUGGCAGAGCAACAUUAUUACAGGGGAGUGAUUGCUAUGUUUCUCAUAUUCCUUGCUAAUAUCACUAUGCAUGGGCGUAGUCUUGUCUCGCAAUGAUUGCUAAGUAUGCUUGCACUAACUAUGAUAAUGCUAGACUAUAUAGUUAAGAAUAACUUAAGGAAUAUUCUUGUAGUUCAUUCUAAUACCAUGCUAAUGACUUUCUAGAGUAUCUAAUUGAGGUGCUUGUCAUAUUUAUUAUGUGGCUAGAUCAGAUUAGUUAUCCUUAUCAUUAUUAUUAUUUCAUAUAUCCUUUAUGUGACACUUAUCCCUGUAUGAAGAGUUAGAUAUAAUGUUCUCAAUUAUACAUGCAAUGAUAUAUGCUCAAUCUCAUAUUCUAUUCUGUAAUCAAUAUUGAUGAUUGUUAAUCCCUUCCCAGUGGUAAAAAUAUAAAUAACGAUACCUGGAAUACUUCUCGGUUAAAAUGCUACAUCGGUAUUAAUCUGUGCGCUUGCAGAUCCCAUUUAUUAUUUAUUUAGAAGAGCAAUUGCAUAUUUCAAUACCGCGUCUUUGUCAUGCUGGGGAUGACAACUUGGCUUAAGUGGUGUGAGGGAUAGGUUUGGCAUUUUUGGCACCGUUGCUAGAUUUAGAACUUAGUCUACCUUUAGUAAUGAUGUUAUGAAUACCCAACAAGCAUUUUUGGCGCCGUUGCCGGGGAAGGUUGAUUACCAAUCAGGAAUGGAAUAAAAGAUUUUGAGUUAUCAUUCGCAUCACUAAUAUGAUUGAGCUUAUCUAUUCUCUCAUACAGUUUUACCCCGAUAUUUUCCUAUUUCAUCUUAUGCAGGGGAAUGUAUGAAUAGAAGACAUCUUCCAGGAAAUUUUGUUGACAAUCCCGAAGCAUUAUUCAAGAAGACGAGAGCCAAGCUAAAGAAAUCAUCAACACUUCAGCAAGAAGCUUCAUCCAAUCAAGAAGAUCACCGGUACUUGUCUUCAGAGUUCGAAGCCAUGGCGAACAAAUCAAUCCGCGAGUUCUCAGCUCCCACUACGGACAACAUCCGCACUGGACCUGCUGCAGAGAUCGAUGGCAACUUUGAGCUCAAGCCUGGACUUAUCAACAUGGUGCAAUCCAACCAGUUCUGUGGGAAGGCACACGAAGAUGCUAGUGCUCAUUUACAACACUUCCUGGAGAUUUGCAACACAUUCACCAUAGCAGGAGUUUCCCAAGACGCUAUACUACUUCGCCUCUUCCCAUUCUCACUGUUAGGAAGAGCGAAGCAGUGGUUCUACGCUACAAAGGAGAAGAAUACUACGUGGGCACUCUGCUCAACAAACUUCCUGGCUAAGUUCUUUCCCAUGGGCAAGACCAAUGCUCUCCGUGGGAAGAUUACGAGUUUUCAGCAACAAAAUGAUGAAUCUGUUCCAGAAGCAUGGGAGCGCUUCAAGACUACAUCCUAGAAUGUCCCCAUCAUGGAAUGGAGAGUUGGCUACUGAUGCAGACGUUUUAUCAUGGGCUCGGCAACAGUUCCCGAGAGACCAUGGAUGCUGCAGCUGGAGGAGCAUUCUUAUCACUUACUAUACCACAAGCCACAGCUCUUGUGGAGAAGAUGGCGUCCAAUCAAAGCUGGAAUGAAGAGAGGAGCCAGACACGCAAGAGAGGUGGAGGUAUGCAUCAGCUGAAGGAGGUAGACAUGCUCUCUGCAAAGCUAGACCUGCUCAUGAAGAAGCUCGACGAUAUAGCUGGAGACAAGAAAGAAGCUAUGCACAUCUACGACUCUCACAUGACUUGUGAGGAGUGUGGAGACACUGGACACUCAGGCAAUCACUGCCCUGAGAUGCUUGAGGAUGUGAACUACAUCAACAACAACAACUACUACUACUACAACCGUCCUCAACAAAAUCAAGGUUGGAAUCAACAGAGGCCUAACUACUCAGGUAAUUAUCAAGGUAACAAUUCUUACAACAAUGCUAAUAAUUUUCCACCAUUGAGAGAGUUAGUGUCUAAUCAAGGCAAGCUAAUGGAUAACCUAUCUAAGAAAUUGGCAUCUAAUGAUAAAAUGCUAGAAAAUAUAAAUAAUAGAAUGGAUAAUUUCUCUACUGCCAUCAAGAAUCAAAUUAGCUUUAAUAAAAUGAUUGAAUCUCAGUUAAAUCAAAUUGCUGCUGCUGUUCCUGCUACUAACCCCGGUAUACCAUCACAACCGGAAGGAUUAGAAUCUGCAAAUCUUGUAGACAUGUUUGAUGCAGGUAAUUGGAGUAACCCCGUCACUGAAUUUUCUACUAACCGUCUGCCGGUCAAGAGAGGAGAUCCAGGACGCCCCGUCAUCCCGAUCUCUAUCGGCAUGGUGGAUGUCCCAGAAGCACUCUGCGACUUUGGCUCCAGUGUCAACAUUAUACCCAGGGUACUCUAUGAGAAAUUCUUUACAUAUCCUUUAUUAGAGACAACCAUGUGUUUGCAGUUUGCAGAUCAGACGAUAACUUUCCCAAACGGAAUAGUGAGGAACCUUUGUGUCCGAGUUGGUACCUUGUAUGCCCCAGCAGACUUCGUAGUGGUAGAGACCGGAAAUGAUGAGAGAGCACCUAUCAUCUUAGGGAGGCCAUUUUUGAACACCACGGGAGCUAUCAUCUACGCUAGUGCUGCCAAUAUCAGUUUCUACGUCAAAGAGAAGAAGGAGACAUUUUUCUUCAAGAACAAGACUACACAAAUUCAAGAUCAAUCCAGACGUGAAUCAAGGAAGAGGACCAACAGGAGGAACAGGAACAAGCAAGUGUGGACCGAGUCAGCUAAGAUGGUCACUGUAGUCCAUGGAGGCCAAGAUCACCAACUUAAGUCACCGUUUUUGACCAAGAAGGACGACCCAGGAAUGCCAAGCAUUUACUGCUCCAUAAAUGGAUACAACUUUUACAAGACGAUUUGCGACACCGGAUCAGGCGUCAACAUAAUGGCCGCAGUCACUUAUCGGCUCUUGUUCGGGACAAUGCCACUAAGACCAACAUACAUUCAGCUCCAGAUGGCAGAUCAGACAUUUCGAGAAGUUAAAGGAAUAGUAUCUGAUGUCCCAGUCAAAAUAGACAAUCACUUUGUCUACACAGACUUUCAAGUUGUUGACAUGGGAGAAGACGAGUAUGAUCCACCCAUCAUCCUUGGAAGACCAUUCCUCAGCACCGUUAAAGCAAUUAUCUACAUUGGAACCGGAGAAGUCCAUAUGCACUUCCCCUCAGAGAAGGUACGCCGUUAUUUUACUGACCCUAACUAUAUCAUUGAAGAAUCUAAGCAGGUCAGAAAAAGACGCAACCGCAACCAGAGGAGGCAGAUCAUCAAGGACGGAUGGGCAGACUAUGAAGGAGAAGUUGUAAGGUCAGAAGACGUUGAAUUUAAACAGAAUUAUCCAGAGGAGAUUGAAGCACCGAGUCAGGUAUGGAAAAUGAAGAUAACUAUACAAGAAGAGGAGGCGCUGCCGGAAGUACCGACUACGCCACCCAACGAACCUCAGGACGAUUAAGAAAUUGGAGAGUCCCGUUCGGAGGACUUAAAAACACCGAACGCCUUGCCAAGAGGUAAACUUGGUAGUUACCCUUUCCUUUCAGUUAUUUGAAAUAGUUUAAUUAGUUAAUCAUAUUCACACUAUCUUAAAAGGAAAAUAAAAAUGUUAAAAACUAUAAGCCCCAUGUGAGUAGACGAGUGGCAUAAAACCCAUAAGUACAUUCACUGUGGUGGCAUAAAAAUAAAAUAAAUAUUUUUCUGCUUUAUAAAAUAAAAAUAUAAAAACAGGGAGUAAUAAUUAUUAAGGAGUCUCAAGAUAAUAAAGGCUAGAUAUUUAUGCUAACACUUAAUCAGUUCCACAAGCUUUGUUGUCUAUUUGAGCUCCACAGAAUUUAAGAAUCAAGAAGACUAGCAGACGGAGGACAUUCUAAUCGCUCUCAGAAUGCUGCUGACUUUCAAAUACACCUCUGCUACCUGCUAGCUACAUCAAGAGAAAUUACGUCAAAAUUCAGCUUGGGGGAGAGCACCCCCAUUUAUCUCGAUAAGUAUUUCUAUCUAUCUUUAUACUUAUAUUAUUUUAGAAUAUUAAAAUACAUAAACUAUGAAAAACCAAAUAAAGAUUUUAUACUUAUAUAUAUAUCUUUUGCUUAGUAUGUUUAAUAAAUAAAUAAAGUGGCUAUGCUAAUCUGUAUGUAAAUAAAACUUAAGCAUGGAUAUGAUGAAUAGUUGCUCUGCCUAAUUUGCACAUUUUAAGUUCUCUCUCAAGUUUAGAUAUAACUGUUAUAAUUUAAAGCUUGCUCUAGACCUAAACUUGUGGGAUGAAAACUUGAUCUGAAGUCUAAGUUGUUAACGGAUACGAUAUGGGAAGGUUGAGCUGCUGUUUAUCUGUUCCUAUAGAUGCUAGAAUUCUGGAGAAUUUUAUCUUUGAAAAUCUUUAAAAUGUUGCAUGAUGAGUUCCUGUAUGAUGAGAGUUUAAAUUCCUACCACAGCCAUAUAUACAUGCUUGCUAGACUUUGAGCCACACAUUUACUAUUUACUACUUAUGAGCAUUGAGUGUGGUCAAGCUGUGUAGACCCUUAGGAGCUUGUCAUGUGGUUAAAUCAAGAUUCACUUGCACGUUCACUCAUAUAUGCUACUUCUACUCCAGAAGUACCAUCCACAUAUAUCCACCCAUUCCAUCUCCAGAAUCACCCAAAAAUAUUCUACUCCUAAUCCGGGAGAGAAUAACCAAAAAUAUUUCUGUUUUCCCCUUGUGAAAUAAAUGCUCAAGUUAUCUUGUUACUACCACUUGCUAUAUUAUCUCAAGAGAUGAGUGCUCUUAAAAAAAAGAAAAAAAAAAUAUACGAGGAAAUAAAAAGGAGCAAGUGCUCGGAACCUCGAAAGAAAAGAAAAAGUGAGACGAGAGGUAAAAAUGGACAAGUGUCCGACAGUAGAAUUAGGGGUGCAAGAUACCCACCUGAGAGAAAAGAAAAGAAAAAGAAGAGCAUCUCAUUCUCCUCAUAAAAUUUCAAAAAGCAAGGAAGGUUUGUAUCCCCUCAAAAGAGCAAAGUAGAAUUAGACUUUCACCAUUGUUAUCACCAUCAUCACCAUACACCAUUCAUUCGCCACACAUGCACAUCUUGAUUUGACUUAUUGAUUUGUUUCUUUGGAUCCAUGGUUUGACUAUGCAAUAAAUGUCUUGUAAGUAUGUAUAUUUUAUCUCCCACCUAUUAGCUCCAGAUAUUAAAGCCUUAUUAGAGUAGGGUGAGAGAGAAGGCAAUGUCACUAUGCCUCAUACCACAAAUACCACAUAUCUUGAGAGAAGGCAUAUACCAUCAAUGCCUUGGUAAGGAUCCAAAAAUACCACAAAAGAGAGACCUGAGAGAAUCAUACAAGGAAUUUCUGAGUUUUAUUUGAAAAUCUGCAAAAACCCUAGAGCUAUAGCUGAUCAAGAAUAAGAGACAUGGCACUUGGCUAGACUGUUCUAUCUUUUAACCACUCAAGACAGAAGUGACAGUUACAAGUCCCAUGGUGUAGGUAAAGUAAGUAAGUUUUAAGUCUUGACAGUUUACUCUAACUCAGAGAUGAGAUCUUAUUUAAAAGCAUGUGUACCGUCAAAUUUUUAAAAUAUAAUGCAACAACUUAUGAUCCAUAGCUGAGUCUAUCCUUGCUCAGGGACGAGCAAGAGGUAAGCUUGGGUGAGUUUGUUGAUGGUCCUUAAGUAUCAAAUUUAAUUAUCAAAUAAAUAAAGAAAAGGAUCCAAAUGAAAUCAAGAUCUAGACUUAGGGUUUUAUCUGACAGAAUUCCACGAGUUUUGGUGUUUGUCUAUUUCUGUAGGGGGUUAUCAGGAAAUAUGUAAGAAAGGCCCACAUGUCAGGAUUACGUAAAGGUAUUAACGUGCUGCGCAAUUAUCUUACAUCUAGAAGACUCCAGAAGCCACGAGACCGAAGCGGAGGCGAAACGGGGCCAGAGGCAGGGCGCCCGCCCUAUCCUACUGGGCGCCCGCCCCCUGUUGGAGUCCAAUCAGGACUCUGCUUUGCGGGAGAUCUCCACCGACCUAAAGGAUGAAUCUAAACCAUACAAUCUAUGUCGGUUUGAUCCAAGGGCCCAUAUUCACUUGAAGGGACUAUAAAACCAGACCCCCUGGCCCCUGGAGGAGGGAGACUCUCAACCCUAAUUCAUUGUUCUUCAAGGGAGAAGAAGCCUC
This 27140-nucleotide long non-coding RNA is filed under the name Sorghum bicolor (sorghum). RNAcentral describes it as "long non-coding RNA (SBIC_LNC014349)". The stretch from base 17083 to 17189 matches the Rfam family "Plant small nucleolar RNA R71". The record is from RNAcentral. Lineage: Eukaryota; Viridiplantae; Streptophyta; Magnoliopsida; Poales; Poaceae.